Molecule: ribosomal RNA, 429 nt
Filed under: Bacillota bacterium
Lineage: Bacteria; Bacillati; Bacillota
Description: Firmicutes bacterium partial 16S ribosomal RNA
Rfam family: Bacterial small subunit ribosomal RNA
Source: RNAcentral
UAGGGAAUCUUCGGCAAUGGACGGAAGUCUGAACGAGCAACGCCGCGCGAGUGAAGAAGGUUUUCGGAUCGUAAAGCUCUGUUGUUAGAGAAGAACGUUGGUAGGAGUGGAAAAUCUACCAAGUGACGGUAACUAACCAGAAAGGGACGGCUAACUACGUGCCAGCAGCCGCGGUAAUACGUAGGUCCCGAGCGUUGUCCGGAUUUAUUGGGCGUAAAGCGAGCGCAGGCGGUUCUUUAAGUCUGAAGUUAAAGGCAGUGGCUUAACCAUUGUACGCUUUGGAAACUGGAGGAGUUGAGUGCAGAGGGGGAGAGUGGAAUUCCAUGUGUGGCGGUGAAAUUCGUAAUUAUGUGGAGGAACACCGGUGGCGAAGGCGGCUCUCUGGUCUGUAACUGCCGCUGAGGCUCGAAAGCGGGGGGAGCAAACAGG